This 1446-nucleotide long non-coding RNA is filed under the name Capsicum annuum. RNAcentral's name for it is "long non-coding RNA (CANN_LNC009161)". Lineage: Eukaryota; Viridiplantae; Streptophyta; Magnoliopsida; Solanales; Solanaceae. The record is from RNAcentral.
CCUGUAUGUAAACCCUUUUUAUCUAUUGGUUGCAUAUCCCUCUUCCAUCCUCUUUGUUGCCUACCAUAGUAGUUUUCUUCUUUAUGACUCUAGUGUAAUAUGUGUAUAUCCACAUUCUGUUGUAUAACAAUCAAUUAGUAUAUAGUGUAUAUUCAUUACUUAUAAUAUAUAUGCAUGGACUUUGGGCCACUUCUGGCACCAAUCUUUUCAAGGAGGAAACUCUUGCUAAUGCAACCAAGUCUUUUUCUUUUUGGGUGGAGAAACACCCCUAUCAUCUCAAAUGUGCACUAAUUAAUUAGGUAACAAUAUAAAUAAAAAGUACUUUGAGUUAAUUAUGUGAGAAAAAAAUACUAAGAACUAACUGUAUUCCAAGUAUCACAUGAAUAACUAAUUGACAUUGAAAUUUUAGUGGCCUAAUUUGGGAUCUAAGGGAAAGCCUUUACGUUCGUUAGUAAGCCUAAUUUAGUAAUUUUAGUGACAUUGAAUAACUAUUUACGUUCGUUAGUAAAUAGUACACGUUUGAAUUCUCUUUCACGACUAAACAGAGCUUAAUUAGUGAGUAAAUUAACAAUUUCUUAUUUUGAAUUUUGCCUCCACAAUAUUAAUGUUUUUAACAUCAUGUCUUAAUUAUUGUGGACAACGGUAUAACUUAAAAAUGGGACAAGUUAAUAAUCCUGCAAUUCAAUUACUAGCCAAAUUCUACAUCUGUAAUGAAAGCAAACAUACGUAUUCAACAAUACAAAUCGAUGUACUCAGUAUAUACAAAUAAUAUCAAAUAAUGUAGAUAGAUUAUAUCAAGUAAGUAUGCUUAAAGAUACAUCAAGAUCGAAACAUGAGAUCCAAGGAAAUGAUUGAAAACUUCUUAGUGAAUAUUACAUUCCCAUUCAUUGUAGCUAAAUUUGGAUGCACCAAAAAUGUAAAGCAGAAAAAUAGUAAAGAAAGAAAAGUUCCCCUCUAACAGAAAAGAUUAAAAAACUACUUAUGUUUCUGUAAAGAAAAGAGCCUUGAAUCUUGAUAACUGGUAAGAAUAGUACGUACUAUAUCUUGUAACUGCAUAAUAAUGCAUUGCCAAAGGGUUUAGUAGUUGCCCAGAAAAACAUACUUGAUGAUGCAUGUGUCAUCAUGGAAAACCAUCAUCAUCAUCAUCGUCAUCAUCAACAUCGUCAUCCUUUUGAUUUUCCGUGGGAACUGGGAAAGGAGAAAAACUGAAGGAGAAAGAAUGGGAGGUGGGGAGGAUCUUUAAAGAAAAAAGAAGGGGAUUAGUGCAUAGCAUUCCUAUUUUAUUUCAACUUUAAAAAAGUAGUUGCUACUUGGUGGAGAGAGGAUCUUCUAAGCAUAUGCUUCCCCCUUUUUUUUCCUUUCUUUUUCAUAUUCAUAUUCAAAACAAAUCAAUAUUUGUUGGCUAAUGAACCAAUUAAUUAAUUUGGCUUCCAUAGGUGUCCUUUA